Molecule: ribosomal RNA, 777 nt
Filed under: uncultured Neocallimastigales
Lineage: Eukaryota; Fungi; Neocallimastigomycota; Neocallimastigomycetes; Neocallimastigales
Description: partial large subunit ribosomal RNA
Rfam family: Eukaryotic large subunit ribosomal RNA
Source: RNAcentral
UACUAGAGUCAGCACUCGCAUAUCAAUAAGCGGAGGAAAAGAAACUAACAAGGAUUCCCCUAGUAACGGCGAGUGAAGCGGGAAGAGCUCAAAUUUGAAAUCUUAAAGGGUUUCCCUUUACGAAUUGUAGUUUAAAGAAGUGUUUUCUGUUGAGGUUUUGGUAAAAGUUCUUUGGAAUAGGACAUCAUAGAGGGUGAGAAUCCCGUAUUUGACCUUUACUUUCAACUUUGUGAUACACUUUCAAAGAGUCGGAUUGUUUGGGAAUGCAGUCCAAAAUGGGUGGUAAAUUUCAUCUAAAGCUAAAUAUUGGCGAGAGACCGAUAGCGAACAAGUACCGUGAGGGAAAGAUGAAAAGAACUUUGAAAAGAGAGUUAAACAGUACGUGAAAUUGUCAAAAGGGAAGCGUUUGACACCAGUGUUGUUUUUCUGAAAAUCAAUUAAAGAACUGUUUAUGCUAAGCUGUUUAGACUUUAUCAGCUAAUCUGUUUAGUUUUGAGCUUUUCUUUAAUGCACUUUUCAGUUAACAAGGUCAACAUCAAUUUCUUUUGCUGUAAAAAAGCUUGAGGAAGGUGGCUUGAGAUUCGUCUUAAGUGUUUAUAGCCUCUUGCCUAUGCAGUCGGAGAGAUUGAGGUCUGCAGCGUAGAUCCUUCGGGGCUAAAUGCAUUUGUGCUAAGUUAUAGCAUUUUAUAGACAACUUGUUGACUAUGAUUUGUCUUGUAGCUUACUCGCCUAUGUUAUUUUACCUACGCUUAGGAUGUUGAGCGCAUGUCUCUCUCU